This 200-nucleotide ribosomal RNA is filed under the name uncultured bacterium. Its description in RNAcentral is "partial 16S ribosomal RNA". It matches the Rfam family "Bacterial small subunit ribosomal RNA", at positions 28 to 230 of the family's 1533-position model. The record is from RNAcentral.
GAUGAACGCUAGCGGGAGGCCUAACACAUGCAAGCCGAGCGGUAUAAGAUCUUCGGAUCUUAGAGAGCGGCGUACGGGUGCGGAACACGUGUGCAACCUGCCUUUAUCAGGGGGAUAGCCUUUCGAAAGGAAGAUUAAUACCCCAUAAUAUAAUGAGUGGCAUCACUUAUUAUUGAAAACUCCGGUGGAUAGAGAUGGGC